This 253-nucleotide ribosomal RNA is filed under the name uncultured bacterium. RNAcentral describes it as "partial 16S ribosomal RNA". It matches the Rfam family "Bacterial small subunit ribosomal RNA", at positions 524 to 776 of the family's 1533-position model. The record is from RNAcentral.
UACGUAGGUGGCAAGCGUUGUCCGGAUUUACUGGGCGUAAAGGGCGUGCAGGCGGUCUGUUAAGUUCAGGGUGAAAGCUCCCUGCUCAACUGGGAGAGGUCCUUGGAUACUGGCAGACUUGAGGAGGGUAGAGGAGAGUGGAAUUCCCGGUGUAGUGGUGAUAUGCGUAGAUAUCGGGAGGAACACCGAUGGCGAAGGCAGCUCGCUGGGACGGUACUGACGCUGAGACGCGAAAGCGUGGGGAGCAAACAGG